UCCUCCUCACCUCAUUCUCCCGUGUUAUUCUUUCCCUAGUAACAAAUUGUAUUUUCUGUAUUAGAACAUGCUGUUGUACAGUAGACUCUCUAAAAAUUUCCCAGUUUCUGGCUUACCAAAUAAAGUAUACCAGAGCUCUAGGUAUUGCGGCCACCAUCUCCUUCUUAAAACUGCACCAGUGUCGCUAUUUUAUCCACUUUAAACUUUCAUUUACUGCAGCUGAUGGCAUUUGCAAUCCCAGUCAUGUCAUCACAUCCCUCCACACUGCAAUUGUCCAUUCGCAGGUCACAAAGAGGUGGUUGGCAUCUUCAAUAUGCUGCAGUUCACAUAAAACUCACCAAGCAUUGUCACAAUAUCGUCAUGAGUCAAGUAGAGCCUUCAAGAAGAAACAAAAAAGUGAAAAGCAAGAAACUCAUUAAUGCUGGGCUACUGAAAUAUUUGGCAGACAGAAAGAUUUUGUCAUUGACAAUGAAAAAUAGGGUUCCAGCUAUAUGGUCAAAUGGAGAGCAUCAACUAAAUUCAAGUGAAGAACAACAGAGCCCAAGUUUAGGAGCGCAAAGAGAAUGCUGCAAGAAAUGGUGGACUUCAUAGCACAAAUUCAACGUCAAAACCUAGGUUUACAACUUGAUCUUAACAUGAUGACAGAAUUUUGUGCUCGUUUACUGGGAGAAGCUGGCUCUGCACCACAAACAGCCAUCCAACCAAUGCAUUGCUCUUCUGUCAGUAGCAACCAUCAAGCCAUCGUUCUCAGUCCUAAUUGGCCAACUGUCGUGUCAAGAACGAGGACUUCUGGACUGAUGUUAAAUACUACAAAUAGAAAGAUAAAAGACACGAAAAAAGAGGGAUCUAUUGGUUGUCAUCUCAUUAGUUACUUUGCCACAUAAGUUGGGUGUAAAUUACACGCUCUUCAUAUUGUUGGUUGAUUGUUGUUGAAGGGUUUUAUAGAUACAUUUUUAAUAUUUCAUUUCAUCAUUUGGUUGUGAAGUGUUAAGUCAAAGAAUGUGCUUUUGAAUGGCAUCUUAAUUUGGUGCAGUUCUACUGUAGUUAAAUGGUGUCUUUGAUUGUUGCAUCACUUCACGCUUGUUGAAUUGUCAACUCGCAGUGAACUUCAACCAACUAAUUCUUAAAAUCAUACCAGACACUAAAAUUUUACAUAAAAUAGGAGAGGAUACGUUUCCAACUUUGACGCUAAAGGCCAAAGAGGAUAAAUAGAUUAAUCAUGUAUGCUUAUUUUCAAGAGUACACUUCUAGCAGCAAGUAGAUAAGCAAGUAGUAAUGCAUAGAGAAAUUGCACAUGAACUAAACACACUCCUAGAACUAUUUCAUGUCAGUUUCCAAUACUGUAUAUUCCCUAAGAACUUUGGUAAGACUUGAGGAACACGAAAAUAACCUUUUAUCUGAUGAGGCAAAAGAAAACUACAAGACUUUGUAGUGGAUUACAACAUAUGGGAACAUGUCAAAGCACCGGAACAUAAGUUAUUUAGGCUGAUGUCAAUAAUCAAACAUGUGCACACACAAAAUGACCAAAAUAUAAAAUCCAUAACAGCAAGCUCCUUUCUACAUCUUAAUUACCUCAUUUGUUUCUUUGAAUUUAAGGUCGCAUUUAUUACAAACUUUAAUUCACAUAGUUCAAUCAUUCCUAAUACUAUAUGAGUUGUAAUGAGAAUACUCCAAUCAUAAGAACAACCCUUUUGCUAUCAGUAAAGGCUAAACUGAUAUGAAAGAAUUCUGAAGAAAACUUUUUCUUUUGCUAUUUAAAUUGAGGAAAUAAACAAAAACUUUAGAACUAUAUUUAUCCCUUCUUUCUUCUGUUUUUAAGGUCCUACAGCAGAGAGAAGUUUUUGUAUUACUUCGAUAAAACACAGUAUAUCACAAUGGUGUAGAAUUCAUUUGUUCAACUAUCUAUAGAUGAUUCAUUUAGACGGUUAGAUUUUCAUCAUGGCCCUUCUAAUUGCUUAUGCUGCUCCAACAGUUCAAAUGAAAUCAUGAACCACCAAUUCUUUGAAGGAGGAAUGACUUGCAAUUGGAUCCAGAAUGUUAAGUGUGCAUGGAAAGAAGAAUAAACCAUACUUCUCUAACAAUUAAAUUAAGGCUUAAAUUAAUAGCCAAUCAUUCUAGUAAAAAAGUGACCAUAUCUCUCUUUGUCUCUCCCCAAUGAGUGUGUGGAGAUAUGUCACAGUGCACCACCUACACCUUCCUCGAGACAUAUAGGACAGUCUUCAAGUUCAUCCAUAUCUAUAGAAUCCUAGUAAAUUGAAUAACUUUGUCCAGUUAUAGAGAAUUUUAGCAACAGAAUGGCCACAUCUUUUGGUCGAGAACAUCCUUAAACUGUGCCAAGAACCUAUAAUAUCCUUUAAGUAUCCAUGUGAACAAAUGAUAUCCAUAAAGGUUAUCAAAGUCGGCAGAUUUUUCAUUUUGUUUUCUCUGAUAAUACCUGAAAAAUACAUAAGAAUUAGAAAAGUCUAUUACAUGCUUAGAAAAAAUAUCCAUCACAACUAUUUGGGAAGGAGCGCAUCCAUCUCUUAGCGACAAAUGCAUCCAGAAUCUCUCAAACUUACCCAUAUCUGGCUCUGAGACAAUUGAAUAACAAUAAAGUGGAGGCUCCAACGAGCAUUGCUAAGAGGGAUAUAAUUAUGUGAUAUUAUGCAAUCAUUAAAAAACCAGCAUGGAACAAUUAAACAACUAAAGAGGAGCAUUUUAACUAACAUUGCCUCCAACAUCUUCUGUAAAUGUUGACUAAAGAUUUACUUGGAAGUUCAUGUAUUUAUAAUCUCUUUAAUUUAGUCAGUCAAUAACAUAAAGCUAUUCUCCUUGAUAUAAGCACGCAAUAUCACCAGUAUGAAGCCAAUUAUAUAUUGUAACGUAAACAUUAUUUAAGUGUUCAUGAAAAUUAAAUGCCAAAGACAAAUUCUUUUAUUUGUUUAGAAAGCCCAAAUAGCAACGCCGAAAUAUUUAGAGAAAAGAUUUACCUUCUGGCCAUUGGCUGCUACAAAAGUAGAGACUGCAAAAAUGAAUGGAAAGAUUUAUUUUCUGCGUGUUGGCUGCUAUAGAAGUGGAGAUGAUGCAAAAAGGAAGCAGUCUGCUGAUGGUUGUUAGGAGAUUUGAUUCUUUUUCAUCAUUGCUGCUGGAACAUCAACUCUUCAGUUUGACAGUAAAAUUUGGAAAUAUAUAUGUCCAGGCUAUGAAGUUUGCUCAGCACAUUUGCCAUAUUUUGAACAAACAAGCUUUGGGCAGAAGCACUAUAUGUGAAUGCUUAGUAUUAUCUAAAAAGAUCAAAUCAGAAAAAUGAUGAAGGCUUAUCAACAUUCUGAAAAAAAGAGAAGAACGAUGAAGCUAAACAGAGAAGUAGGAUUAUCAAGGGAAUUUCCUUUGUGUCGACUGGAUAAAUUAAAAAUGCUGCAGAUAGAAUAUGAACCAUGUAAAU
RNA transcript from Lycium barbarum (goji berry), 3424 nucleotides. RefSeq lists it as uncharacterized. The transcript is spliced from 3 exons. NCBI's taxonomy places the organism in Eukaryota, Viridiplantae, Streptophyta, Magnoliopsida, Solanales, Solanaceae. The record is from RefSeq and is a predicted model, not a curated record.